UGGGGAAUUUUGGACAAUGGGGGAAACCCUGAUCCAGCCAUCCCGCGUGUGCGAUGAAGGCCUUCGGGUUGUAAAGCACUUUUGGCAGGAAAGAAACGUCGCGGGUUAAUACCCCGCGAAACUGACGGUACCUGCAGAAUAAGCACCGGCUAACUACGUGCCAGCAGCCGCGGUAAUACGUAGGGUGCAAGCGUUAAUCGGAAUUACUGGGCGUAAAGCGUGCGCAGGCGGUUCGGAAAGAAAGAUGUGAAAUCCCAGAGCUUAACUUUGGAACUGCAUUUUUUAACUACCGGGCUAGAGUGUGUCAGAGGGAGGUGGAAUUCCGCGUGUAGCAGUGAAAUGCGUAGAUAUGCGGAGGAACACCGAUGGCGAAGGCAGCCUCCUGGGAUAACACUGACGCUCAUGCACGAAAGCGUGGGGAGCAAACAGGAUUAGAUACCCUGGUAGUCCACGCCCUAAACGAUGUCAACUAGCUGUUGGGGCCUUCGGGCCUUGGUAGCGCAGCUAACGCGUGAAGUUGACCGCCUGGGGAGUACGGUCGCAAGAUUAAAACUCAAAGGAA
Molecule: ribosomal RNA, 562 nt
Filed under: uncultured bacterium
Lineage: Bacteria
Description: partial 16S ribosomal RNA
Rfam family: Bacterial small subunit ribosomal RNA
Source: RNAcentral